CUGCGGACCUGGCAGCGCUCGGCGGUCCCCCCUGAAUCCCCGAGCUGGUCGCCGCUUCGCGCCGGCGCAGCCGGGAGGCGGCAGGGACACGGAGCAACUGGGCUUUAAACGGCUUUGCUGCAACUUUUAGCAUGGUCGGUGCUAUAGAGACACCAAAAUCACAGUCAAAGGGGGAGCUGCGCAUCUGCCCCAGUUCAAGAUGAAGCAAGAAGCACUAGUGAUCUCUGCAGAUUCCUGUGGCAGUAAGUCAGGUACUGCCCUUGCUGCUCCUUAAAAUGGCGGCUGAUAUGCAAAUGGAUGAGACACUGGAAUUCUGGGAUCUACUCAAGAACAAAGGACUCUUAAAACAGAAAAACAGAGUAGAAUCCAGAAUGGAAAGUAGUACCUCUGGACUGGCACAGAGGUAAGACUAUCCGCCAAAGCAGCUUCAUUCGGUCACCGUGACCUGAACCGUUCCCUAUUGGCAUGAGACCCCUGAACAACGAGCCCAAAUCAACUUCCCGGGUACACAGGUGGGGAUGAAGUCCCAGCCUUGCUGUGAAGCGAAGCUGUUUGCACUUUCUCCUCUGCGUUGCCGAAGGGAGCAGCAAGUGGUACGCACCGCCUCUCAAGCCCCCCACCCAGAGCUGAUUUCUCUA
Molecule: long non-coding RNA, 638 nt
Organism: Hirundo rustica (Barn swallow)
Lineage: Eukaryota; Metazoa; Chordata; Aves; Passeriformes; Hirundinidae
Exons: 3
Source: RefSeq, a predicted model, not a curated record